UGUUCGUAAGUCCAAUACUUCCAGUCAUAUCAACUGGUGCGUUUUCUUGAGUCGUGACAUCAAACGAAUGAAGAAAACUAGCCAAAGUUAAAAGUGUCAUCUGAAGGCCAAAACUUAUCCCAGGGCAUGCUCUUCUACCACUGCCAAACGGCAUCAGCUCAAACUGCUGACCCCGAACAUCAACAUCCUUAUGGGUAGUGAGAAAUCUCUCUGGCUUGAACUCCAUCGGGUCGGCCCAAACCCGUGGAUCAGUUUGGAUCUUCCACAGGUUCACUAGCAGCCACGUACCUUUUGGAACAUGGUACCCUCCUACGGUACAGUCUUCUGUGAACUCCCUCUGGCCUGAGAGUGGUCCAGCUGGGCAUAAACGCAUUGCUUCUUUAACAGUGGCCUGCAGGUACACCAGAUUAUUUAUAUCUGACUCAUCCAGCAGUCUUCCUUUGCCAACAUACUGAUCAAGUUCUUCAUAAACUUUCUUCAAAACUUGGCGGUUGUUCAAAAGCAAAGAGAGUGUCCACGUCAGGGUCACCAUGGUUGUGUCACUCGCUCCAGCAAUCAAAAUCUGCACAAUCAAAAUUUUGGUGAUUAUUAAAACAAAUUUAGCCAAUGACCAUUUGGUUUAGCAGCAUCCAGUAUCGACUUUGUUCGACCAGGUGCUGAGUUGAAAUAUGACGGACAAAGGUCGUUGUAGAAAAAAUUAAAAUAAAUUAACAUAUAUACCAAACAUGUUGCUUUGAUGACGGUAUCAGCAUCGAAGCCAGCAACAUCCGUUCCAUCGAUGGCUGAAAGCAUGACAUCCANNNNNNNNNNNNNNNNNNNNNNNNNNNNNNNNNNNNNNNNNNNNNNNNNNNNNNNNNNNNNNNNNNNNNNNNNNNNNNNNNNNNNNNNNNNNNNNNNNNNNNNNNNNNNNNNNNNNNNNNNNNNNNNNNNNNNNNNNNNNNNNNNNNNNNNNNNNNNNNNNNNNNNNNNNNNNNNNNNNNNNNNNNNNNNNNNNNNNNNNNNNNNNNNNNNNNNNNNNNNNNNNNNNNNNNNNNNNNNNNNNNNNNNNNNNNNNNNNNNNNNNNNNNNNNNNNNNNNNNNNNNNNNNNNNNNNNNNNNNNNNNNNNNNNNNNNNNNNNNNNNNNNNNNNNNNNNNNNNNNNNNNNNNNNNNNNNNNNNNNNNNNNNNNNNNNNNNNNNNNNNNNNNNNNNNNUACAAAUAUAUGAGAGUCGUAUUACAAAAUUUAUACGUCCUAUUUUCAGAAACAAACAACGACGAUAAAUAUUAGACGUUGUUAAAUAAAACAACGUCGGAAAAAAAUAAAAACAGACGUGUUUAGUCUGCUAAAGUUCUAGAAAAUAGUCGAGGAUGAGAAUAGACGACCAACUCAAAAAAAUCACCGUCGUUAAAAAGGAAAAAUAUGACACAUAUUAAAAGAACAAGGCCGCAAGAUAUACAUACAACGACAACAACUAAAAUACUACGCCGUUAAAUAUAAUUUACCCGACAAGAAAAAAUAUGACGUCUUUAAAUACAUGAGAAGACGACGUUAUUGAAAUCUACUACGUCUCUUAUUUACAAAAAACCGUCGUGAAAUAAAUUUUCCACUUCGAUUUUUCUAAAAAAGAUGACGUGGAAAUAGUUGUCAGUGUCAUUAUUUACGACGUAUACAUUUAUAUAGUCGACGUUGUAUUUAUAUGUAUUCAUUACUCACGACGCACUUAAUAAUAUAGACGACGUUGAACUUCUAAACAACGUCGGUUCCAAAUAAAUGAGAGCCGUAUUACAGAACAUAUAGACGGCGUAGAUUAUGAUGAGAGCCGUAUUACAAAUAACGUCGUUUAAUUGUUAUUAGACGGCGGUUAUAAUGAACUUCCGUCGGAAUUCAUUUCGUUCCUCUUCGUUUAUAAAAGAACUUGCGACGUGGAAAAUGUAUGAUGACGUCGUAUUUUUUAACGUUCAGAUUAUAUAUCUCGUUUUUUAGACGUCGGUAUUAUGGGAUUGGAGUCGUGUUAUUCUGAAUUACAUGGCGGUUCUUAAUCCUUCACCGACGUGAUAUCCUGAAUAAUUGCUUCACAAUAGCGUCGUGGUUCUUCAUUGUUACGUUGCUUUAAGACGUCGGUAAAUAUGCUGAAUAACUGAUUCACAAUAACGUCGUGUUUUAUUUGAACGUAGAAAGUGAAGAAAUCGCAUUACAAUAUAUUACAAAAUUAAUGUCAUACACUGCCAAUUACAUAAGCAUCAUUCAAUCCAUAUAUCUUCACACUCAUCUCGAAUAUUUUGACCGCCUAACUCACCUACCAGUUCAUCAAAUGUGUCAACAUUUGGCAUCCCUCUAGUAAAUGGCUCACACUCAAUUAUCACAUCACCUAAGACUUCAUCACCAAUAACAUCAUUAUAUUCUCUAUUAGGCAUUGAUAACACUACCGACCAACCACGAUGCAUCGGGUCGUCAACAAAAAAUAUUUGUUUGACUUGAGAAGCCAAAACAAAUUGGUCAUUCCUAUGUCCAAUUUUACUCAAAUCUACAAGGGUAAAUCCAAGUUCGUCGACUACAAGACCAGAACUAUCUAUCCAAUCACACCUAAAGACUGGGAUUGUAAACUUUUGGUAGUCAAGGUCCCAAAUUUCUUGACUGACACCAUAGAAACCCAUAUUUGAGAGAAUUGGGUUUUUAUCCUUGGCACUAGCAACUUGCAUGGUAUGUGCAAGUAAAUAAACUCCACUAUUUUGAGUUGUCCGCACAUCAUCUUGUGCCUUGAUAUUGAAUUUAAUACCUUUAAUAAGAUAGCUCCUAUAUAAUGGCACUGACAUGUUUGGACCAGCUGCUAGCCACCUUAAAUUUUCUGAUACGCCAUGAUUGUCUUCCUCAAGUUCACUUUGAACCUGCAAAUUAAUCAUAUCUUAAUUCAAUCUAACAUAUAAAUAAGAAGAAAAUUAAUAGAGAAAUAUGUUAUUCAACAACAUAUACCUUGAAGCGUAGCCAUUGAAUGAAAGUGCUAUUGUGCUUAUCCUGCAGCCACUUUGUUCUCUUUCUAAAUUUUGGAUAAGCAGUCUUGAUGUGAAUCAUAUGUUGCUUACAUGACACGAAAAAUUCAAGCAUUACGGUCCUAAAUAUAGAAGAUAAACAUAAGAAAUAAUUUAAAAUGGAAACUUAAAGAAUAAAGCUCAUACGUACUCGAUAUAAGGUAGGACUUCCUCCGUAUUCUCCAAGACAUAUAGAUGUGCUUGAUUCAACAGGUCCUGAUCAACUACGCUCACUGUGCAACCUGAUAAUGGCUUUGAAAGUCCCUUCUUUUGGCUUGAAGGCACUCCAACUGUACUAACAUCAGAUAAAUGCUGAGUACAACACUCUACCCCCAAUCACAUUGGCAAACUCAUACGAAUCGGAACCAAAAUCAUUAUCAUCCAUAUCAAUUUCUUCAGACACAAAACUGUACCUACUAUGGCCAUCAUCUUCUUCAAUAUUUCUACUAGCAUUAGUAGUUGCUUCCCAAGGUUCUCCGUGAAAUGUCCAAUUCUUAUAGCUUUGGUCAAUUCCAUUAAAGUAUAAGUGAUCCCUUAUAAUUCCAACCCCAAACAACUUCAAAUUAACACAUUUAACACAUGGACAACGGAUAUGUGUUGUAGUUAGAAGAUUUUCUACAGCAAAGUUCAAAAAUGCUUCCACCCCAAACUCAUAUGCCUUCGAUCUUCUAUCCGCGUGCAUCCAUGACUUAUCCAUCUCCGACACUAUAACCUAUUAUCUAUAAUAAAGUGAAAAUACAGGCAAUGACCAUCACUAUAGCAGAUUAUACAAAGAUCUAAUAGCAAGUAAUACACAACAGAGACGACGGGUUUUAAACAAAAACAGACGUAUUUGGCAUAUAUAGACGACGGAUUUUCAACAGACGUCGUCUAAUAUAAGUAAUACAAACGACGGUUUAUGAAAACACCGUCGUGUAUAAGUAAUACAACGACGGUUUUUUCAUAAACCGUCGUGUAAUCGUCGUCGUAUGCCUAAAAAGGCGUCGUGUCUCAGUUUAUUUUCAAGAACCCAAAACCCAUUAAGAACACAACAUAUAUAUGAAACCAAGCAAGAAAACAACAUAUACAUGAAACCAAGCAUGAAAACAAUAAAUCCAUUCCCAAUUCAACAUAACAUAGGGUGAUUAAAAGAUCCGACAAAAUUAAAUCCAUUCCCAAUUCAACAUAACAGAUAAUGUAAUCCAUGAACCCAUUAAACAGAAAAUCCAUGAACCCAUACUUAUAAGCACAUUAUUAACAGAUCGCAAAGCAUAUACCUAAAACCCUUUAACAAAACAACCUAAUAUCAUUCAAUGAAUUUACAAGGGGAAGAUAGGGUUUGUACUUACAGGUUGGACGAGCUCACAGAUUCGACGGAGCAGAAGUGACAGAGCAACUUUUAAUUAGAGCAACUUUUAAUUAGAGCAGAAGUGAGAGAGCGAAAUGUUAUGUUGCACGAAAUCUGAAAAUUUUAGGGUUCGGGGUUAGAAGAAUAAGAAUAAGAGCCAAAUAUAAAAAAAUUUAGGACGCGCGAAAAUUUUUAGAGCGCGCGCUCUUUAAAACGUCGAAAGAAAAACCAUGGCGAAAGUUCUACAAGAACCGACGUAAAUGUAAUAUUCCACGACGGAAACACUGAACGUAACGCCGUUUAUUUUGACGCUUCAUUUUUCGGAUUAAUUUUAAAUUUAUUUUCAAUAUUUUGAUAUAAAGACGACUGAAAAACCACGUCGGGGUUAAGAAAUUGAAAACGUUGUAAAUAAUAAUACACGACUUACAUAUUAAAAUGACGUCGUUUAACGCAGAAACCAUGUCGGAUAAUUUACUGCACGACGUAACAUAUGUAUUCCACGACUCAACCACCGUCGUUAACAAUUAAUACCCUAAACCCUUAAAACUAAAUUAUAUAAUUUAAAAAAUUAAGUUUAUAAAAGGGUUUAUGGUUUUACAGCCUAAUAUAUACCCUAGACUACCCAAAAAUUAUACUUUAAAAAUAAACCCCAAUAAAUAACAACCCUAAUCUCUAAACCCUAGACUCUAAACCCUAAACCAUAAAACUAGAAGUGAUUUUAUGACUCAUCAAAAUAAUUUUGUUUUGGAUGUUCAUUUUAAAUUUUUGUUAUUGAAAAUGAAUUUUUUCAAGCUUUAGGGGGAAGAAAAUAUAUCAAUGACUUCAUAGGAGUUGACUUUGCAUUUUUCUGAUUUAUUUUAAAUUUAUUUUGAAUAUUUUGAUAUAAAAAUAAUAAAAUAUUCUUAUCACAACAACAAACCACGUCGGUGUUAAUAAAUUGUAGACGUUGUAAAUUGUAAGAGACGACUAAGUUGUUAAAAUGACGUCGUUUAAAUGAGAAACGAUGGCGGAUAUUUAACUAUCCGACGUAAAAUAUAUAUUCCUCGACUUAACCGCUGUCGUUACAAAGUACUACCCUGAACCCUUAAGAAAUUGAAGAUGUUGUAAACCAUAAACGACUCCAUUGUUCAAAGAACGUCAUCUAAAUAUCCUUUUACGUCGGAUUUGUUUAAAACGAAACCACAAAAAACGACGGCUUUUGACUUUAUUACGUCGUUGGAAAAUUAUUACACGUCGGUAACGCAUUUUGUAUGUUUGUUUUUGUUUUUACUUUAAGAAAACCUCAACAAAUUUUUACAUUAUAUAUUAUAGACAAAAUUUGUACAUUAUACAUAAAUAUCAAGUGUUCAAUAAUUCCCCUAUUCCAGUUGAAGGCAAACAAACUCUGCCCAUUCAUUCCGGACUUCAUCAAUUGCUUCUUGGGGGUAUGGCUCUUCCUGUUUUCCCUUCGCAUACUGCAUAAAAACAAUGACUAUUAGGGUUUAUAAAUAAAAGGAAAUUCAAUCACAGACGACCAUAACCGACGUAGUAUAUCUAUUCAACGACGGUAAUUUUACAUGACCGUCGUUGAUAAUACAAAAAACGACGUAAAAUGUUUGAAGGUUAUUUCUUCUUACCUUCUUCUCAAACCCCAAGGAAGGAUCCAUGAUGAUGUCCUUCAUGAAGCGCAUCACGUAAUACCCGCAUUCGACAUUGCUGGGUUGCUUUGGUGUGCCUGACAGAGUUUUCCAAAUGACUGCCUUACGGCUUGAUCUGGCUAUGUGGGAAUUAUAAAUUUUUAUGGCACUGUUCACGAUGUUUUUGGCCUCUUCAUCGACCACACGAUUUCCUGGCAGAGGAUCCAGAAAAUAGACUGUUUCCCUCUUUGCUCUUACAAUCAGCAAGAUCCAAUGACGGCUGCACAAAAUUAAUAUAAAAACGACGGUUAUUUACAAAAACGACGUAUUAUAAUAUUUCACACGACGAAAUAAAGUAGCAAUCGACGACAUUAUAUAUUUAUCACGACGAUAAAUAACUACCGACGUGGUUAGUAGUUUCAAACGACUCAAUAAAAUAAAACACCGACGUGGUUAGUUUAUACGCUGUCAUUUAUUGAAAAUCAUAAAAACAAAAUCCUGUUAAGGAGACUAACCCUGGAUUGUAAGGCAUCAGGAAAAUCUGUUCACCGUCAGUCUUCUGAAGUCGUGAUGCUACCAUUCGUGAUCUGUCAGCUAUUGUGCCAGAGCUGGCACUAACUGUAGCAGGGUCGAUAAAGCCAACCAUUGUGCACAUAUUUGCUUGUUUUAAAACAUCGUGUAAGUACCUAAAUAUAUAAAAUAAUAUAAACAAGUCAGCGCAAAAAAAACACACGACGGUUAUGUAUAACAAAACGACGUAUUAUAAGGUUUCACACGACGUACUGAAAUAGACAACGACGUUAUAAUAUAUUUAUCACGACGGUACAUACUAACGACGUGGUUAGUUAGUUAAGACGACGCAAUAAAUAAACCAACGACGUAUUAUUUUAGAAUGACAAACCUCAUAUAUACAAAAAAACACACGACGGUUAUGUAUAACAAAACGACGUAUUAUAAAAUUUCACACGACGUACUGAAAUAGACAACGACGUUAUAAUAUAUUUAUCACGACGGUACAUACUAACGACGUGGUUAGUUAGUUAAGACGACGCAAUAAAUAAACCAACGACGUAAUUUAUCACGACGGUACAUACUAACGACGUGGUUAGUUAGUUAAGACGACGCAAUAAAUAAACCAACGACGUAUUAUUUUAGAAUGACAAACCUCAUAUAUACAGCAAUGACUGUAGCUCCUAUUUCCUCCAUGCCUGCAAAUUGUGUAAUAUCUUCAGGCAGGAGGAAGGUAUCGCGCUCUAGACCAAAGACCUCCUUAUCAAUUGUAAAGUGCAGGGUCUUAUCCUGAGGCACGAGUGUCGUUUUCACAUAACGACAAAGGGUUUGUAAAGAAGAUGGCGCCUCCAUAUUUGAAUAAUCAACAAUUUUGGUAACCUGUUUAAAGAAAUAAAAAAAAAUGACGUGGUAAUUCAAUAAAAACGACGGUUUAAGGAAUAAAACGUCGUCUGAAAAUAAUUUAAACGACGGUGAAAAAACCGUCGUGGUGAAUUAUUUAUUACGUCUUAGAAAACAAUUCCGCCGUCUAAGUUGUAAACAAACGACGGUUUAAAGAAAAAUAUCGACGUCUGGAAUUUUGAAAAACAAAUAAAAAAGGCAAAGUUAUGUGAACAUACCUGGUCGUCAUCUUCUUUCUGCUUUUCAUCUUGUUUUUCUUCUUUAUUCUCUUCAUCUAUGACGUCGGGAAUGAUUAACUCCGUCGUCUAAAAACCACAAAGUUUUAAAAAUAACGACGUUUAAUGGCGUGUAAAACAAGUAAACUAAAUACGACGUGGUAUUGAAAUACAAACGACGGUUUAUUUUUAAAAUCGUCGUGGUAUGUAUUUCAAACGACAGUUUUAUUAAUAAUAACGACGUCUAAUGGUUUUUAAAAAAACAGAGAAUUCAAAGUUCAGAUAUGUUACCUUUUCUUCCUGAUGUUUCCCAUUUUUGGCAGUAUCAUCCUCAAAAUGCUGGGAUCUCACAUCACCUCCAGAGCAGCUUGCUUUGUCAGACAUUGGAUUUUUGGGACUUUGGCUAAUUCUGGGUUUAAGCAUGCUUGGAUCAAAAUUGGGAAUUAAUUGGGAAAGCUGACUCAGGAAAUGCUCCCUCUCAGCCUCUACCAAUUGUUUCGUUCUAGCCUCCAUCCUUAAAGCCUCUUCCCUUGCCUUAGCCUCCAUCUUUCUAGUCUCUUCUUGAAGGAGAACUCUUAAACUGUCCUUCAAACGGUCGUCAAAGCUCACUCUCUGUGGUUUGGGUAAAUUGAAAUAUUGCUUUGGUGAGAUCCCAGCACCUACUCCUCUGACUCUGCCUGGAUGCUCGGGGCCCAAAGCCAUGGUCAGCACAUCAUUGCUGCCAGAGACGGUGACUUUGCCUUCCGAGACUUGUUUUUGCAAAUCAUCCUGAAACAAAGAUAUAUAAAAAAGUAAGAACAAAAACACACGACGGUUAUUUAUAUACAAACGACGUAUUAUAUAAUUUCACACGACGCAAUAACAUAUAAAUCGACGUUAUUAUAAUUUAUCACGACGGUAGUUAUACUGACGUGGUUAGUUUUUUAAAACGACGAAAUUAAUAAACCACCGACGUCUUAUGUAACAGAGGGAUGAUUCAAUAUUCACACCUUUAACGACGUUGUUUAAAACAUUUCGACGUAGUAAUUUAAUACAGACGACGCGAAAUUGAACCACCGACAUCUUAUGCUAUAAUUACAGAAAACAGAGUUGUGAUUCCUAUUUAGACCUUUAACGACGUGUUUUAAAAAAUGUCGACGUGGUAAUAUCAUUCACACGACGCAAAAUAUAACAUAAGACGUAAUAAGAAUUAUUCACAGUUUAAUAAAAAUUUAAAACAGAGUGAGUAGGCUUACAAUUAAUUUUGCUUUCUCUGCCACCUUUGGAUCAGGGAUGUUACCAUGUUUGUCCUGUCUAGCUCUCUUCCAUAAGGUAGAUCGAUCAAUUUCUACCCCAGGCAUGGUUUCCUCUAAUUGAUCCUCCAAACCAGCAUAUCCUUUUCGAGACAAUCGAUGAUUGUACUCGAGUUUCUCCCUAAUCUGUGCAUGUUGAGAAUGCACAGACUCAAAAUCUUUGGAUAGCCUUGAAGCUACAAAGGCAUCCCAUUGUGCUUUCUCUAUGAAUUUAUAUGUUUCAGGGGGUUGGCUUAAUCUCUCCCUGUCAUUGGUGUAUGGAAGGAUAUAAUGCCUCGUUAGUGUAGACUUGAAAUCCUUCCAUUUCUUGGCAGCAGAAGCUAAGACAGAGUUCUUGCCCUCUUGACCUACUACAAAAGCAAUGUCAACUGCUUCCCAAAUCUGCUCCUUUAUAUCCUUGGGGAUUUGAGCCCAUUUCAAGUCCACAAGUGGGACUCUGGAGCGUGCCAACACACCAAUAUAGGACUGCAUCUCACUGUGUGCUUGGCCAAUUCCUUUCCCCCUUUUAUUGUACUCAACAAUUGGCCUCAGUUUUUGAAGUUUUCUCUUCACAACACGAGGCAUUGUGCUCAUACCUCGACCAGCCUUUGAAUCAUCAGAGAUUGUUGUCGCGCUGGUUGGUUCUGUAUCAGCAGAUGAUGAAGCAAACUUCAUCUUCUUCGAAGACUUCAUUAUCUUCGAAGACUUCUCUUGAGGAGGUACUUGCUCCUUACCUCCAUUUUUGUUGGAGCCAGAAUCCUUACUUUGGUCUUGGUGAGAAACCAUUUUUACAGACAAAACUGCAAGUGAAAAUAUUUCAAGAAAAGAUUAAGAACACAAACGACGGUUAUUAAUAAAAGACGACGUAUGAUAUGAUUUUAAACGACGCAAUGAAAUAAUAUCAGACGUAAUAAAUGUUUAAAACCAAGGUAAUUAAACAACGACGAAAUAAUUAACUACAAACGACGUAAUAAUUAACUAUAAACGACAGAAUAUUUAUAUAACGUCGUGGUAUUGAUGUUCACACGACGUCAGUAGUAAUAUACCGUCGUCUAUAUAAGGAUCCAAAACCCUUCUUUCUUUCUCUGUGAAUGUUUGAUUGCAGAUUUGAUUUUUCUGAACCAUGGUUUUUGUUUUCUAAUUUGAUAAAAUACAAGGCCAAGAAAGAAAGUUUUGGAAUCUUAUAUAGACGACGGUAUUUUAAUAUGACGUCGUGGUAUUAACAUUCACACGACGUAAAACAAUAAGAUACUGUCGUCUAUAUUAGAUACCAACCCUAAUUUCUUUUUCUUUAUAUUUUAUCAAAUUAGGGAAAAACAAAAACCAUUGUUCAGAGAAAUCAAACCUGCAAUUAAACAAGCAAAUAAAAAAAGACUAUAAUUUUAAAAACAACUUUGUCAAUUUUCAGACGACGCUAGAACGACUGACGAACCGUCGUGGUCUACAUAUUUAACCACGUAAAUAAGAAGCUACCGUCGUCUUAUUUAGUUGAGGUAGUUGUCUUCAAAGUUGGAAACUUUCCCUCUUUGUCUGUAUAUUUUUUCGAACUUGGAAAGAAGUAAAAUGAUUUUGGCCAGAAAAAAGGUAAAAAGAUUUUUCAAACAAAAAACGUAUGAGCAUGCAAAACAGCAACCAAAAUAGUGAAAAUGAAAGCUUACCUUUUGCGUGCAAUGAAAGCAAGAGGAAGACGAUCGAUGUUUAAGUUCAGAGACGACGAAGAAGACGAGAGGAAGACGAUGAGAUACUCUGAAAGUGCUCUGACAAGGAAAAAAGUCUAAAAGUUUUCUCUGGGAGAUUGAAAUUUUUAAUCGGGUUUGGAAACAGUGCAUGUGUAAGACAGGUACACGAAAAGUUGCUUACAUAUAAAACCAUUUCAAAAAAUAAUACGGCGGUUACAUAUAACUACGACGUAUAAAUUACAAAAUACGACAGUACGUUUAACUUCGGACGUGGUAAAUAAGUACGACAGUAGUGUUGUAGGUACCGUCGUAGUAAACUCAAAAAUUAAAGUACAUAAAUAAUAACUCGCGUCAUGGUAGAUCAUUUAACACGUCGAUUUUAUUAAUGUACCGACGUGGAUUUAUGUAAUAUACGUCGGUCAUAACGACGUUGAUUUUAAAAUUUAAACGGCGGUUUUUUUGUAAGGACCGCCGUUGGUUUUAAAAAUUUAUUCUAUAAAUUUGUCGCUUUCAUUCAUUUUCGGUUUACAUUUAGGGUUCCAAGUUCUUCCUCUCUCAGAGACACUGUCUCUCACAUCUCAAAGACAGUAAUUUGGAUGUCUUUCUCAAAGAGAAAUUGAGCUUACUCGCAUCAAAUCUAUGUCCACAAGAAGAAGCUUGUCAACUAGCCUUCUCACUUCCUUGAUCAAGCCUGAUAGGACACUUAGUGCUUCUGAAUACUCCUUGCUUUCCAUCAAAAGAGAUGCAAGCCUGGCCUCCACUCGCUGUCGAAGGAAAGUUCGCUUCUCAGGGAAAUCUGAAGAUCAGAUGUGCCUGAUCCUCUGCUUGAUUUUCUUGGCUAAGAAGAUCCGUCAGAUUUGUGAUAGCCUCUUCCUUUAUCCGUAGAGCUUCAGAAGAAGAAGAUGGGUUUCAAGAAUGCGAUAAAGAAUAGAAAUGGCUUCAUGAAUGCGAUAAAGCAUGAGCAAUCGAAUCAGUGCUUUGAACUAUACUCUGAACUAUACAAGUCAAUGCUUUGAACUAUACAAGUCCUGCAGAAAGAUAAAGGACCAUACUGUUAAAGAAACUGAAACUAUUAAAGAAACCAUAAACUAACACGACGCAAUAUUUGUUUUGCGACGUGGAAUCUUUUCAUUUAACGUCGUUAGGUUUAAUAUAACCGACGUGGAUUUGAAUUGUGAAAUUAUGAAUAGAAAUUUUUUUCCCGUGACCUUUCAGUUUAUUUUUCAAUUACAGUGCGUUAUAAAUAGAGUUUUUUUUCUGGAGGAAAUUUAAAAUGAAGGAAAUUAAUGUUCUGGAUUAUGUAAAGUUUCUUUUUUGGAUGACAGAUUUCAAUUCUUGUCAUUAAGUAGAUCUACCGACGUAGGAUAAGAAAAUAAAGGAAAAAAUUGUUAACAAAAAUUCUUAUUAAGACGACGGUUUAAAUUAAAGGUACGACGUAUAAAAUUAAUAAAUACGACGUUAAAUUUUAUAGUACGAUUUAAAGAUAACGUCGUAGAACUAUACGAUAAUAACGUCGAUAUAUUUAUAUUUUCCGUCGUUGUAAAUUAAUUUAAUACGGCGACAUUUUGUAUUUUAAAGCCGUCGAUUUGUUUGUAAUUAUACGGUGUCUUAUACGAAAAUUUCGUCGUGUUAUUUUAUGAGUAAAAACGGCGGCUUUUAUUGAAAUCGUCGUCUUUACUUUCUACGUCGGUCGAUUCAUAACUUCUGCCGUUCUUUGUUGGCUUUGAUUUUACACUGCGGAAAUCUGUUUCAAAUAGACGUCGGUUUUUUAAUUAGGUACGUCGUUAUUUUUGAACAGCCAUUUGAAUCUCCAUUUUUAGUUGUCUAAGGUGGUAUUACACGACGGUGUUUUUAGAACCGUCGUCUUUUUAAAAACCACGACGGUUUUCACUUAGACCGUCGUCGUUUUCUAGUCGUCUUUUUCACUUUUUGUAGUAGUGUAACUUCUAGUAGUCUAUUCCUUCCCAAGAAUAGCAUUUGUCAAAAGUAGAGGAAUUUAUAAACUGGAACUGUUUAGUUUAAUACAUUCACAACAUAUAUUGCAUAUGUGCAUUUUAUUCUCACAUAUAGCUAAAUUCUCACUCUCAACUAUUUAAUCAUACAAAUUAGGAGACAAGCGUGGUUUGACGAGGACAUCAAGAGGAGUCAGUUUUAUGUUCGUAAGUCCAAUACUUCCAGUCAUAUCAACUGGUGCGUUUUCUUGAGUCGUGACAUCAAACGAAUGAAGAAAACUAGCCAAAGUUAAAAGUGUCAUCUGAAGGCCAAAACUUAUCCCAGGGCAUGCUCUUCUACCACUACCAAACGGCAUUAGCUCAAAUUGCUGACCCCGAACAUCAACAUCCUUAUGGGUAGUGAGAAAUCUAUCUGGCUUGAACUCCAUCGGGUCGGCCCAAACCCGUGGAUCAGUUUGGAUCUUCCACAGGUUCACUAGCAGCCACGUACCUUUUGGAACAUGGUACCCUCCUACGGUACAGUCUUCUGUGAACUCCCUCUGGCCUGAGAGUGGUCCAGCUGGGCAUAAACGCAUUACUUCUUUAACAGUGGCCUGCAGGUACACCAGAUUAUUUAUAUCUGACUCAUCCAGCAGUCUUCCUUUGCCAACAUACUGAUCAAGUUCUUCAUAAACUUUCUUCAAAACUUGGCGGUUGUUCAAAAGCAAAGAGAGUGUCCACGUCAGGGUCACCAUGGUUGUGUCACUCCCUCCAGCAAUCAAACUCUGCACAAUCAAAAUUUUGGUGAUUAUUAAAACAAAUUUAGCCAAUGACCAUUUGGUUUAGCAGCAUCCAGUAUCGACUUUGUUGGACCAGGUGCUGAGUUGAAAUAUGACGGACAUAGGUCGUUGUAGAAAAAAUAAAAAUAAAUUAACAUAUAUACCAAACAUGUUGCUUUGAUGACGGUAUCAGCAUCGAAGCCAGCAACAUCUCUUCCAUCGAUGGCUGAAAGCAUGACAUCCAUGAAAUCUUGAUCUUUUCCUUUAGUUCUUUUCUGCUUGUGCUCCUCCAACCAUUCCGCAACAAUACUGUCCAAUUCUUUGGCAGUUUUCUUCAUGGCCUUCUGCUGUCCACCCAAAUCCAACCAACUAAGCCAAGGAACAGCAUCUCCCAACACAAACAAUCCCACCAAAUGAAAGAACUCUCUCAUGGCUUUUUGCCACCGCCUUGCCUCCUUCUCCUCACUCAAAUUCCCAUUCAUAAAGCAUCUCUUUCCAGCAACCAUCCUAAAAAUCACAUUUAGAGUCAAAUCCCCAAACCACUGCUUCAUCUCCACUAAACGCUCCCCCGAGCUUUCUUUUCUUUUGAUCCAUAAAGUGUACAGCUCUUUCAAACUCAUCUCCACUUCUGAUACUCGAACUUUUUUCAGAAGCUCGAGCCUGCGGUUUGAGAGUAACUCGAGGGAUGUGAGCUUGCGCAUUUCGCGCCAGUAUGGACCGUAGGGGCCAAACCCGAACAUGGCAAAGUUGUAGCCCAAGUGCUUUGCUCCUAGCGUAGCCGGACGGGAGGAAACAACUAUGUCGUUUGUGGUGAAGCAGUCCUUGGCCGCCUCCCAAGUACUUAUCACCAGAGCAGAGUGGAUACCAAUGUUGAUGGUGAAGGCUGGUCCAUACUUGUCAACCAAGGAAGCCAAAGCUAUGUGAGGAAGCUGAGAUCCUCUGAAUAGGCCAAAAUGACCUAACAGAGGCCACCCGCCUGCAACUUUUGGUAGUUUAGGACCCUUGGCUUUGGCAGCUGAGCUUGAUCUCUUUAUGAUAAAGUAGGAAAAUAAAAGUAUGGCUAGGAUUCCAGCUAUGGCAGUGUUUAGGCAUGGGAGAUACAACUCCAUUGUUGCAAAGGGAAGGUUUGAGGGUAGCUGUCAUUCAUGCAGUAGUUCUUAUUUAUAGUCAAUAUCAGUGUUUUUUCUUCGUGGGACUUUCAGGUCAGCGUUCUUAAGUUUGUUUUGGAAGAGGGCCAAUGAGGAUUGUUUUCUAUAAGAUAAUUCGUAUUUAUUUGACUCACUCAAUAUAAUAAUUGAUGCGUAGGAUAGGAAGCAAACUGUACUUGGCAACGUUCUGAUCAGACAAGAAAAUGGGUUAUUUUAAUAGAAUUUGACGUCAUCGCUGCAACAUUCGGAAAAGUACCCCUGAGGUGAUGAAAUAACCUUCGUGAUUGAAGAUUAUCUUUUGCACCGUUUGAGACUUAAACUUAUCUCCUUUGACCCAAAAAAAAAAAAAGUAUUUAAACUUAUCUCCUUUGAACAAACAAAAAAAUUAUUUAAACUUAUCCGAGACUCUGUUUUUUUAAUUUCUCUAGAAGAUAACAUCAACCUAAUAUUAAGCAGUCCUAUAUCCUGCCAAAAUUGCUUUUGCAAUAAGCAGUUUCACUUUGGCCUUUCUUCAGCUCAGCAAUUAAAUUAUCAAUCGGCUUUCCCUAGCGGUAUACCAAGUUUUGUCCUCCUGUUCUCUCUUGAUUAAUUUUCUUCUUGUUCAUCUAUUACUAUUUGGAUAAUGCUUGGGACAUCAUCUUUUUGUACUAUAUUUGUGCACCAAUUUAUGUGACUGUUGAGUUAGCUAUGCCACAUCGUUAAGUGAGUUUUUAAUAUUUUUUUCACCUUUCACUUUACAAUCAUUUAAAUCAUAUUAAAAUUAUUUUAAAAAAAAAAAAAUCUCCAUUCUCUUCUCCUACCUCUUAGCCAGCUAACCCUCUCUCCCUCCUUAAUCAACCUCAUCUUUCAGCCAUCCCUCUCCAGUUGCCCAUCCUUCCCUCAGCCAUAAUCUUGUACAUGAACCUACCCUCAACCAUACACCAGAUUUCCCAAACAUUGAAAAGUGAAUCUCACCUACAGGUAUAGGGUCGAAAUCUUUUGAACAAUCACAAGGACACUGAGGGCAGGAACUUUUCUCCUUCAAGCUCCAGUGCAAAGAUGGACGUAUAUCCAACCAAACACACCGCCAUUAAACAAAAACUAGCCUCACAGCAAAAAAAGACAAAACUCAACUUCGGUUUGUUUGUUUCCAAAUUUACAGAAAGUCCAAGAUCGUAUCAAAAACCCAUUUCAGGUCCGGGGUUACAUAACUCAGAAUAUCAAUUAAACUCAAAACUUGACUGCACUUGAAAAAAAAUUAAUAAUAUCCAAUCAAAAAUGCCCAUUUCAAGAUCUGGGACCUGCAAUGAGAAUCUGACAAACUCAAUGACUGGUGUAUGGCUGAGGGAAGGAUAGGCGACGGGAGAGGGGUGGCUGAAAGGUGGGGUUGAGUAGGGAGGGAGGGUUGGCUGGGUAGGAGGUAGGAGAAGAGAGCAGAGAUUUGUUUUAAAAUUUUAAUGAUUUUAAUAUGAUUUAAAUGAGUCUGUAAAGUUUAAGGUCAAAAAAUAAUAAAAUAUUAAAAAUUCAUUUAAUGAUGUGGUAUCGACAAAUGUAUGUUAACUAAAAAGUGGAAUCCAUUUGUCAAAACUAGAGGAAACGCAUGAAGCUCAUUGGGCAUAAGUAGAAGAUAGAUUUAGUAAAGCCAAACUUUUUAGAUUAGGGUCAUGCUAGGGAGAUCAACUUUAAAUAUCAACUUGUGUACUAACUCUCUAAUAGAGGUGGAGCCCACCAAUACAAUGGGUCCCACGCUCUAUUAGAGAGUUGGUAUACAAGUUGGUAUCUAAAGUUGGUCUCCCUAGCAUUUUCCUAGAUUUAAUACAUUCAGAACAUGAACAUAAGCAUAUGUACUUUUCAUAUCGUAGCAUUUAUUUUCAUAUAUAUAUAUAUAUAUAUAUAUAUCUAAGUUCACAAUUCUGAACUUAUUCAUAAAGAUUUGGAGACAAGCGUGGUUUAACGAGGACAUCAAGAGGAGAGAGUUUCAUGUUUGUAAGUCCAGCGCUUCCGGUCAUAUCAACCGGUGCAUUUCCUCGGGUCGUGACAUCAAACCAAUGAAGAAAACUAGCCAAAGUUAAAAGCGUUGUUUGAAGGCCAAGAUUUAUCCCAGGGCAUGCUCUUCUACCACUACCAAACGGCAUCAGCUCAAAUUGCUGACCCCGAACAUCAACAUCCUUAUGGGUGGUCAGAAAUCUCUCUGGCUUGAACUCCAUCGGGUCGGCCCAAACCCUUGGGUCAGUUUGGAUCUUCCACAGGUUCACUAACAGCCACGUGCCUUUUGGAACAUGGUACCCUCCUACAGUACAGUCCUCUGUGAAUUCCCUUUGGAAUGAGAGUGGUCCAGGUGGGCAUAAACGCAUUGCUUCUUUAACAGUGGCAUGCAG
This 16739-nucleotide long non-coding RNA is filed under the name Prunus persica (peach). RNAcentral's name for it is "long non-coding RNA (PPER_LNC001418)". Lineage: Eukaryota; Viridiplantae; Streptophyta; Magnoliopsida; Rosales; Rosaceae. The record is from RNAcentral.